UUGGCGUGCUAGAAGGACCCAGCAGUGUCUCCUGUGAGUUCAGUAGCUGUCUGUAGUAUGCUAAGCAACGCCAUCGUUCGCUGUUAGACAUCUUCUUUCAAAUGUUUUCACUCGUCAACUUGUGCGCAGAAUCUGAAGCAUUGGUCAAAGGAUCCGGUCAUCCUGUUCCUAGGACUCGAACUCUAUCACCAGCGAAGCUACUCGGACGUCUACAUCACUGGGCUUGUGGCGGAAGCAGCUGCAUUCAUGGAUUUCCUUAUUCUCCGGACGCACUUAACCACGCCACCAAGCCUGGCAUCGAAUCAAUGUCACGUGGAGCUCAUCGGCAGCUGGACGAAAGAUUCCCUGAAUGACAAGCUGCUCUUGAGCAUGGAAGACGCUGCACGUUUCUUGAAUUCAUCGAGGCUCGAACGUGACGUGACUGUUCCUCUGCUGCUGUCCCACUCGCUGGCCGUGGUCGAGUAUGAGGUGGAUAAGGACUCCCAAGCACAUCAACCUCGACUGCGGAAUCUUAAAUGCACCAAACGUUCCCUCCAGCCA
This is a long non-coding RNA of Dermacentor andersoni, 540 nucleotides long. RefSeq lists it as uncharacterized. Lineage: Eukaryota; Metazoa; Arthropoda; Arachnida; Ixodida; Ixodidae. The record is from RefSeq and is a predicted model, not a curated record.